CAGCCGCCGCGGGAAUACGAAGGGGGCUAGCGUUGCUCGGAAUGACUGGGCGUAAAGGGCGCGUAGGCGGCGGCCAAAGUCAGGCGUGAAAUUCCCGGGCUCAACCUGGGGGCUGCGUUUGAUACUUGGUUGCUUGAGUGGGGAAGAGGGUCGUGGAAUUCCCAGUGUAGAGGUGAAAUUCGUAGAUAUUGGGGAGAACACCGGUGGCGAAGGCGGCGACCUGGUCCUUUACUGACGCUGAGGCGCGAAAGCGUGGGGAGCAAACAGGAUUAGAUACCCCGGUAGUCCCUGUCUCUUAUAC
RNAcentral lists this ribosomal RNA (301 nucleotides) under uncultured bacterium. Its description in RNAcentral is "partial 16S ribosomal RNA". It matches the Rfam family "Bacterial small subunit ribosomal RNA", at positions 509 to 807 of the family's 1533-position model. The record is from RNAcentral.